CCGCAUUUUAGUUCUACGACUUUGAAACGUGUUGCCUUCCACGUUCUCCCUGGAAAGAAGCAGGCUAUCAUUAAUGACAGAAUAGAAAACAAAAGACCCUUAAUUUGGCCAUGUAUGAAGCUAUUUCAGAAAUGGGUCCUGCUCUGUUAAGCCUCCGGACAACAGCCACCCCUGCCAACCUCCUGACUGCAAACUCAGGGCGCUGGUGCCACCAGCAGUGAAUAACAGAAUGAGACAGGAGAAAAGGGCUCAAGGCUCCUCAACAGGUCCUUCUUAUUUUUAUUUUGUAGCUGCCCCAAAGCCUUGCAGCCAGCCCAGCUGCACCAGGCACCUCACAGCCUCUUCAGAAGAUGUUUGCUUUGGCUGCAGCAGGCUUUGGCUGCAGCAGGCUUUGGCUGCGGACAUAUCCAGGAUGACUGCCCUGUGGCCCUUCUGGGUGACCCUGCCCCUCUGGAGCCCUUCUCAGUCAGGUGCACAAAGGGCCCUUUCUCUACCUGUGGCCACCUAUAUAAACUACCUCCCCAUACCCUUAGCAGGUUCAGUCUUCUGCUGUUCCCCCUUGCACUGCAGUAUAAGUCCUAAUAGAGCCUCUUCUGCAUGGCAUAUUUUUGCAUACUUGUGAUUUCUAUUUUGAGCAGUGCUUGGUGAGCUGGUAACACUAAGAGCUGGUAACACCAAAUGCCUCUGAUACUGCAAGUGGCCAGAGCCCAGAACGGGUAAGUCUAAAGGCUGCUGGUGCUGAAAGUGGCCAGCAGCUGAGGCUCUUAGUACUAAAGGCAGCUCACAGCCAGAGCAUUGGAGAGCGGCAGAGUAUUGCAGCACCAGCCAUCUCUGGUCUCUGGAAGAAUUCCCAAGACCUGCUGGUAGUUGUAGCCACUAGCAUUCAUAGCUCAGGGCAGUGAACACUAAAAGAGCUACACUGUGCCAAUUAGUGACUUCUGUAUGAAUUGAUCAAGAACCCACAGCCAUUUGUAACAUCUCAGAAGCCUGUACAGGGUCCCUGCCCUUUAGAGGGCCCUGAAGAAGAAGGCAGCCAAUGGUGAUGGUUCUAGUGGUUCAAGAAUUGGCCCAGGCCUGAUUUCUAUCUUAAGAAUCCACAAUAGUCAGUGACAGUAUGAGGAUGAAUGGGGAACAGGUAGGCAGGUGUCCUAGGCAAGGUCUGGAUUAAAGUGGCUUAUAAUUUAUAUCAUAUACCUGGUGGUCAUUUCCUUGAUUCCUGAAUGUAUAAUUGGGGUUGAUGCACUUAGAACAAGUGUAAUACCCACAUGAAGUCCUUGGUUUGUGGGAUAGGGCUGUCAGAGGGGGCAAAGCCAAGUUGAGAGCUCACCACCCCCAGUCAAGGGUGUAGACUAAAAACAACAUUCAUCCUGCAGGCAUGGCCAUUAAUGCAAUGCUGUCCUUCAGCAUCCAAAGGACUCAGGUAGUGGUUCCCGUCACAUCUCCAUUGAGCUCACCUGCUUGGUCUCAGCAGAAACAGGCACAACCUGGCAGUUGGAUGUGACUACCAUAUAUGUGACCAUACAGCCCCGCUGGCAACUGCCUUGCCAGAUGUGGGGUCUGCUGGAGAAGAGGGGCCCCGCUGCAGAUACUGAGCACACAAACACCCAUCAGGCAGAAGAUGCAUUCUCUUCUAAUCCAGUUCUUUUUUUUUGGUACCAGGGAUUGAACUCAGGACCUUGCGGUUGCAACACAGGCGGCAGCACCGCUGAGCUAAAUCCCCAGCCUUCUUCUAAUCCAGCUGGGAGAGGAAGACGCAACAGCUCACAUGGGGUGAACUGGGCACUAGUAUAAUUUGCAGCUUUGCCCAGGAUUAUAACGAAUUUCCUGUCCUCUUUCAUAUUAUAGUUUGAAGAGAUCCAGACUCUUAAUGUCUGCAGGACACAACAAUAUUGUGCUGUAAGGGCCAGUGCAGUGGCCUGGCUCAUCCUUGAAAGCAGGCUUGACACUCACCUCUGCAUCUCAGCUGACAGCCACGGAGCAGUGCUUGCUUCACAACAGAUUGAUGAGGCUGGGACUGCCUAGCUCGGGAGAUCCGUGCCCAAGACCAGACAGCCUCAGUCCUCAUCACUGCUGCCGCCGCCCAGGGACUUCAUGGUGCUGACCGGAGGGUUAACAACAGAAGGUCCCCAGAUGCCCCAGCCUGACAGUGAUGAUUCCAAGGCGGAAGAAGGGAGGGCUGUGCGGACGGCCUGGGCCUCCCUGUAGCACCCAGCACACUGCUGUGAGGACACGGCCUUCCCCAGACCAACCCAAGCAGACAACCCUUACUGCGAGUGCCUGGGAGCCCACGUGCAGCGCAUCAGUGUACAACCCUGCCACCGCGGCGCCCUUCUCCCGCUAGCUGAACACCCCAUUUACCUGGAGGAGACUCCUCUGGAAUCUACCUCCCCUGCCCAGACCUCUCUGUCGGGACAUCGUCUUGUGCCAGUGUGGUUCCUAGAACCAGCUGAGAAGUACACCUAGGAGCACAGAUGGGUAGAGAUCUUUGGCCUCCUCCACAGGACAUGGAAGGGAUCCGUAUCAUGCCGUGGUCAGUCUGGUUGUCCAGUGACUGACAUCCUCGGAGAUGAGAUAAAACAGAUGCAGUUUCAUCCAUGGACAAAAUCUCAACACUUUAUUCAUCCCUUGGCAGGGAGAGGGGGGCACUGCCCAGUCAGGUGGGGUGGCUGGGAUAUGUGUUGUCUAAAUUCCAGAUAGUAUACACAGCACUGAUCAUGCAGAAACAGGAAGGGAAGCAAUAAGUUAAAAGCCACAUAAGUUAUGAAAAAAUAAUAUAUACUUUAUAUAUCUCAUCCCACUGAGGAUUUGCUCCCUUGGAAACCAAUAAAGAGCCCGAGAGAAAGCAGCAAUCAGCACCCUCUUUGGGGACAUCAGGGAUGAACAGCUGGCCCAGCUCCCUUUGGCCUGAAAGAGUUGGUGGCCCAUCAGCACUGCCAAGGCCUUAGCCCACCC
Molecule: long non-coding RNA, 2952 nt
Filed under: Heterocephalus glaber (naked mole-rat)
Lineage: Eukaryota; Metazoa; Chordata; Mammalia; Rodentia; Bathyergidae
Description: lncRNA (ENSHGLG00000047999.1)
Source: RNAcentral